Non-coding RNA from Podarcis lilfordi (Lilford's wall lizard), 78 nucleotides. The record is from the annotation of a GenBank genome assembly. Lineage: Eukaryota; Metazoa; Chordata; Lepidosauria; Squamata; Lacertidae.
AGUUGAUAGAGCUGGCUCAGUUGGUAGAGCAAGAGACCCUUAAUCUCAGUGCUGUGGGUUCGAGCCCCACAUUGGCCC